This 492-nucleotide ribosomal RNA is filed under the name uncultured bacterium. RNAcentral describes it as "partial 16S ribosomal RNA". It matches the Rfam family "Bacterial small subunit ribosomal RNA", at positions 29 to 507 of the family's 1533-position model. The record is from RNAcentral.
AGUGAACGCUGGCGGUAGGCCUAACACAUGCAAGUCGAACGGCAGCACAGUAAGAGCUUGCUCUUACGGGUGGCGAGUGGCGGACGGGUGAGGAAUACAUCGGAAUCUACUUUUUCGUGGGGGAUAACGUAGGGAAACUUACGCUAAUACCGCAUACGACCUACGGGUGAAAGCAGGGGAUCUUCGGACCUUGCGCGAUUGAAUGGGCCGAUGUCGGAUUAGCUAGUUGGCGGGGUAAAGGCCCACCAAGGCGACGAUCCGUAGCUGGUCUGAGAGGAUGAUCAGCCACACUGGAACUGAGACACGGUCCAGACUCCGACGGGAGGCAGCAGUGGGGAAUAUUGGACAAUGGGCGCAAGCCUGAUCCAGCCAUACCGCGUGGGUGAAGAAGGCCUUCGGGUUGUAAAGCCCUUUUGUUGGGAAAGAAAAGCAGCAGGUUAAUACCCCGCUGUUCUGACGGUACCCAAAGAAUAAGCACCGGCUAACUUCGUG